This 478-nucleotide ribosomal RNA is filed under the name uncultured bacterium. RNAcentral's name for it is "partial 16S ribosomal RNA". It matches the Rfam family "Bacterial small subunit ribosomal RNA", at positions 29 to 507 of the family's 1533-position model. The record is from RNAcentral.
AUGAACGCUGGCGGGAGGCCUAACACAUGCAAGCCGAGCGGUAUUUGUUCUUCGGAACAGAGAGAGCGGCGCACGGGUGCGGAACACGUGUGCAACCUGCCUUUAUCUGGGGGAUAGCCUUUCGAAAGGAAGAUUAAUACCCCAUAAUAUAUUGAGUGGCAUCAUUUGAUAUUGAAAACUCCGGUGGAUAGAGAUGGGCACGCGCAAGAUUAGAUAGUUGGUGAGGUAACGGCUCACCAAGUCAAUGAUCUUUAGGGGGCCUGAGAGGGUGAUCCCCCACACUGGUACUGAGACACGGACCAGACUCCUACGGGAGGCAGCAGUGAGGAAUAUUGGACAAUGGGUUAGCGCCCGAUCCAGCCAUCCCGCGUGAAGGACGACGGCCCUAUGGGUUGUAAACUUCUUUUGUAUAGGGAUAAACCUACUCUCGUGAGAGUAGCUGAAGGUACUAUACGAAUAAGCACCGGCUAACUCCGUG